RNAcentral lists this transfer RNA (35 nucleotides) under Chlorocebus sabaeus (green monkey). RNAcentral describes it as "partial tRNA-Leu". The record is from RNAcentral. Lineage: Eukaryota; Metazoa; Chordata; Mammalia; Primates; Cercopithecidae.
GUUAAGAUGGCAGAGCCCGGCAAUUGCAUAAAAUU